Molecule: ribosomal RNA, 253 nt
Filed under: uncultured bacterium
Lineage: Bacteria
Description: partial 16S ribosomal RNA
Rfam family: Bacterial small subunit ribosomal RNA
Source: RNAcentral
UACAGAGGUCUCAAGCGUUGUUCGGAUUCAUUGGGCGUAAAGGGUGCGUAGGUGGCGCCAUGAGUCAGGUGUGAAAUCUCGGGGCUCAACCUCGAAACUGCACUUGAUACUGUGGUGCUUGAGUACUGGAGAGGAGAUUGGAAUUUACGGUGUAGCAGUGAAAUGCGUAGAUAUCGUAAGGAAGACCAGUGGCGAAGGCGAAUCUCUGGACAGUUACUGACACUGAGGCACGAAGGCCAGGGGAGCAAACGGG